AUUGAACGCUGGCGGCAGGCCUAACACAUGCAAGUCGAACGGUAGCACAGAGGAGCUUGCUCCUUGGGUGACGAGUGGCGGACGGGUGAGUAAUGUCUGGGAAACUGCCCGAUGGAGGGGGAUAACUACUGGAAACGGUAGCUAAUACCGCAUAACGUCGCAAGACCAAAGAGGGGGACCUUCGGGCCUCUUGCCAUCGGAUGUGCCUAGAUGGGAUUAGCUAGUAGGUGGGGUAACGGCUCACCUAGGCGACGAUCCCUAGCUGGUCUGAGAGGAUGACCAGCCACACUGGAACUGAGACACGGUCCAGACUCCUACGGGAGGCAGCAGUGGGGAAUAUUGCACAAUGGGCGCAAGCCUGAUGCAGCCAUGCCGCGUGUAUGAAGAAGGCCUUCGGGUUGUAAAGUACUUUCAGCGAGGAGGAAGGCGUUGUGGUUAAUAACCGCAACGAUUGACGUUACUCGCAGAAGAAGCACCGGCUAACUCCGUGCCA
Molecule: ribosomal RNA, 493 nt
Filed under: uncultured Enterobacterales bacterium
Lineage: Bacteria; Pseudomonadati; Pseudomonadota; Gammaproteobacteria; Enterobacterales
Description: bacterial SSU rRNA
Rfam family: Bacterial small subunit ribosomal RNA
Source: RNAcentral